This 869-nucleotide ribosomal RNA is filed under the name uncultured Bacillota bacterium. Its description in RNAcentral is "bacterial SSU rRNA". It matches the Rfam family "Bacterial small subunit ribosomal RNA", at positions 48 to 916 of the family's 1533-position model. The record is from RNAcentral. Lineage: Bacteria; Bacillati; Bacillota.
UUAACACAUGCAAGUCGAACGAGAAUCUGCUGAAGGAGGAUUCGUCCAACGGAAGUAGAGGAAAGUGGCGGACGGGUGAGUAACGCGUGAGGAACCUGCCUUGAAGAGGGGGACAACAGUUGGAAACGACUGCUAAUACCGCAUGAAGCAUAGGGGUCGCAUGAUUCUUAUGCCAAAGAUUUAUCGCUUCAAGAUGGCCUCGCGUCUGAUUAGCUAGUUGGCGGGGUAACGGCCCACCAAGGCGACGAUCAGUAGCCGGACUGAGAGGUUGAACGGCCACAUUGGGACUGAGAUACGGCCCAGACUCCUACGGGAGGCAGCAGUGGGGAAUAUUGGGCAAUGGGCGCAAGCCUGACCCAGCAACGCCGCGUGAAGGAAGAAGGCUUUCGGGUUGUAAACUUCUUUUAAGAGGGAAGAGCAGAAGACGGUACCUCUAGAAUAAGCCACGGCUAACUACGUGCCAGCAGCCGCGGUAAUACGUAGGUGGCAAGCGUUGUCCGGAUUUACUGGGUGUAAAGGGCGUGCAGCCGGGUCUGCAAGUCAGAUGUGAAAUCCAUGGGCUCAACCCAUGAACUGCAUUUGAAACUGUAGAUCUUGAGUGUCGGAGGGGCAAUCGGAAUUCCUAGUGUAGCGGUGAAAUGCGUAGAUAUUAGGAGGAACACCAGUGGCGAAGGCGGAUUGCUGGACGAUAACUGACGGUGAGGCGCGAAAGUGUGGGGAGCAAACAGGAUUAGAUACCCUGGUAGUCCACACUGUAAACGGUGAAUACUAGGUGUGCGGGGACUGACCCCCUGCGUGCCGCAGUAAACACAAUAAGUAUUCCACCUGGGGAGUACGAUCGCAAGGUAGCAACUCAAAGGAAUUGACGG